GGGUCAGUAGGUUGGUCGUGCCACCGGUACGUACUGGUCUCACUGAUUCCUCCUUCCUGAAGAACCGUAAUGCCAUUAAUUCGGUGUUGCGGGGAAACAGGACUGUUACUUUGAAAAAAUUAGAGUGUUUAAAGCAAGCUAACGCUUGAAUAUAUUAGCAUGGAAUAAUGAAAUAGGACGAUCGAUCCUAUUUUGUUGGUUUCUAGGAUUGACGUA
This 216-nucleotide ribosomal RNA is filed under the name Glomeromycotina sp. RNAcentral's name for it is "partial small subunit ribosomal RNA". The stretch from base 40 to 216 matches the Rfam family "Eukaryotic small subunit ribosomal RNA", at positions 686 to 864 of the family's 1831-position model. The record is from RNAcentral. Lineage: Eukaryota; Fungi; Glomeromycota.